This 485-nucleotide ribosomal RNA is filed under the name uncultured bacterium. Its description in RNAcentral is "partial 16S ribosomal RNA". It matches the Rfam family "Bacterial small subunit ribosomal RNA", at positions 30 to 507 of the family's 1533-position model. The record is from RNAcentral.
AUUGAACGCUGGCGGCAGGCUUAACACAUGCAAGUCGAGCGGGGAAGCGUAGCUUGCUACUUGACCUAGCGGCGGACGGGUGAGUAAUGCUUAGGAAUCUGCCUAUUAGUGGGGGACAACAUCUCGAAAGGGAUGCUAAUACCGCAUACGUCCUACGGGAGAAAGCAGGGGACCUUCGGGCCUUGCGCUAAUAGAUGAGCCUAAGUCGGAUUAGCUAGUUGGUGGGGUAAAGGCCUACCAAGGCGACGAUCUGUAGCGGGUCUGAGAGGAUGAUCCGCCACACUGGGACUGAGACACGGCCCAGACUCCUACGGGAGGCAGCAGUGGGGAAUAUUGGACAAUGGGGGGAACCCUGAUCCAGCCAUGCCGCGUGUGUGAAGAAGGCCUUUUGGUUGUAAAGCACUUUAAGCGAGGAGGAGGCUACCGAGAUUAAUACUCUUGGAUAGUGGACGUUACUCGCAGAAUAAGCACCGGCUAACUCUGUG